AUUGAACGCUGGCGGCAUGCUUUACACAUGCAAGUCGAACGGUAACAGGCCUUCGGGUGCUGACGAGUGGCGAACGGUUGAGUAAUGCAUCUGAACGUUCCCAGAGGUUGUGGAUAACGCAUCGAAAGCUGUGCUAAUACCGCAUGUGAUCUGAUGAUGAAAGCGUGGGACCAUGCAGCAAUGUUUGGCCUCGCGCCUUUGUAGCGGCCGAUGUCAGAUUAGGUAGUUGGUGGGGUAAAGGCCUACCAAGCCGACGAUCUGUAGCUGGUCUGAGAGGACGACCAGCAACACUGGGACUGAGACACGGCCCAGACUCCUACGGGAGGCAGCAGUGGGGAAUUUUGGACAAUGGGCGCAAGCCUGAUCCAGCAAUGCCGCGUGCGGGAAGAAGGCCUUCGGGUUGUAAACCGCUUUUGUAAGGAACGAAAAGGAUCUGGCUAAUACCUGGGGCUGAUGACGGUACCGUAAGAAUAAGCACCGGCUAACUACGUG
RNAcentral lists this ribosomal RNA (492 nucleotides) under uncultured bacterium. Its description in RNAcentral is "partial 16S ribosomal RNA". It matches the Rfam family "Bacterial small subunit ribosomal RNA", at positions 30 to 507 of the family's 1533-position model. The record is from RNAcentral.